AGCGAACGCUGGCGGCAGGCUUAACACAUGCAAGUCGAGCGGGCAUAGCAAUAUGUCAGCGGCAGACGGGUGAGUAACGCGUGGGAACGUACCUUUUGGUUCGGAACAACUGAGGGAAACUUCAGCUAAUACCGGAUAAGCCCUUACGGGGAAAGAUUUAUCGCCGAAAGAUCGGCCCGCGUCUGAUUAGCUAGUUGGUGAGGUAAUGGCUCACCAAGGCGACGAUCAGUAGCUGGUCUGAGAGGAUGAUCAGCCACAUUGGGACUGAGACAUGGCCCAAACUCCUACGGGAGGCAGCAGUGGGGAAUAUUGGACAAUGGGCGCAAGCCUGAUCCAGCCAUGCCGCGUGAGUGAUGAAGGCCCUAGGGUUGUAAAGCUCUUUUGUGCGGGAAGAUAAUGACGGUACCGCAAGAAUAAGCCCCGGCUAACUUCGUG
RNAcentral lists this ribosomal RNA (435 nucleotides) under uncultured bacterium. Its description in RNAcentral is "partial 16S ribosomal RNA". It matches the Rfam family "Bacterial small subunit ribosomal RNA", at positions 29 to 507 of the family's 1533-position model. The record is from RNAcentral.